CACGGCCGUGAGGAGCAACUCUGUUCCUCAUCUCCCGUUCACCCCGCGGGCGCAGGGCGCGCUCUCUCCUCGUGGCGAUCGCCGACCGUAGCGGCCGCUGCCCGGGUUUUCGUCGGCCGCUUCGCCAUGUCUUCGCUGGACCCUUCGCCAGCGACGAGCACCCAACAGCAGAAGCAAUUGGAGAGUUUGGUAAAUCUACUGACGCAGGGAAGCAGGUUCUACCGCAAAGCAUAUAAUGAACUGUUCUCAGGUGUAACUACUGAGCAGGAUCCGGAUUCAUCGACUAAUAUUCCUGAGUAUAUGCUUUUUGGGUGGCAUCUCUUCUUAAUGCUCCAUUUGAGAUCACCAGAAUUGUUCAAGGACCUGGUGUCCUGCAUCCAUGGAUUAGUUGCUGUGUUGGCCAUACUUUUGAUUCACGUGCCAGCUAAAUUUAGGAGCUUCACGAUUGAAGGCUCUUCUCACUUAAUCAAACAAACUGAGAAAGGCGUGGAUCUUAUUGCUUCAUUAUGUCAUAACUAUCAUACCUCUGAAGAACGUUUGAAAGAAAUGUUGCACAAGUCUCACAAUGCAAUAGAAGACAUUUUCCAUAUGAAAGCACUAAGUGCUUCAGAGUGCAAACCAGAAAAUUUGGAUAAGAUAGACACAGAUGACCUGAUGUAUUUCAAAGGUCUGAUUGAUAUGGAAUGUUUCCAGUCAAAUUUGGAAAAAAUGGAGAAACUAUGUAAUUCUAAUAGCUGUAAAGGGGAGCUUGAUUUUAAAUCAAUUUUGAUCAAUAAUGAUUAUAUUCCCUAUGAUGAGAACUCGACGGGGGAUUCCACCAAUUUAGGACAUUCAAAGGUAUCCAGAAUGUGUGCCUUUGAAACAUUGGCAUCUCCCACAAAGACAAUAAAGAACAUGCUGACUGUUCCUAGUUCUCCUUUGUCACCAGCCACCGGUGGUUCAGUCAAGAUUGUGCAAAUGACACCAGUAACUUCUGCCAUGACGACAGCUAAGUGGCUUCGUGAGGUGAUAUCUUCAUUGCCAGAUAAGCCUUCAUCUAAGCUUCAGCAGUUUCUGUCAUCAUGCGAUAGGGAUUUGACAAAUGCUGUCACAGAAAGGGUCAGCAUAGUUUUGGAAGCAAUUUUUCCAACCAAAUCUUCUGCCAAUCGGGGUGUAUCGUUAGGUCUCAAUUGUGCAAAUGCCUUUGACAUUCCGUGGGCAGAAGCCAGAAAAGUGGAGGCUUCCAAGUUGUACUAUAGGGUAUUAGAGGCAAUCUGCAGAGCGGAGUUACAAAACAGCAAUGUAAAUAAUCUAACUCCAUUGCUGUCAAAUGAGCGUUUCCACCGAUGUUUGAUUGCAUGUUCAGCGGACUUAGUAUUGGCGACACAUAAGACAGUCAUCAUGAUGUUUCCUGCUGUUCUUGAGAGUACCGGUCUAACUGCAUUUGAUUUGAGCAAAAUAAUUGAGAACUUUGUGAGACAUGAAGAGACCCUCCCAAGAGAAUUGAAAAGGCACCUAAAUUCCUUAGAAGAACAGCUUUUGGAAAGCAUGGCAUGGGAGAAAGGUUCAUCAUUGUAUAACUCACUGAUUGUUGCCAGGCCAUCUGUUGCUUCAGAAAUAAACCGCCUUGGUCUUUUGGCUGAACCAAUGCCAUCUCUUGAUGACUUAGUGUCAAGGCAGAAUGUUCGUAUCGAGGGCUUGCCUGCUACACCAUCUAAAAAACGUGCUGCUGGUCCAGAUGACAACGCUGAUCCUCGAUCACCAAAGAGAUCGUGCAAUGAAUCUAGGAACACAGUAGUAGAGCGCAAUUUGCAGACACCUCCACCCAAGCAAAGCCACAUGGUGUCAACUAGUUUGAAAGCAAAAUGCCAUCCACUCCAGUCCACAUUUGCAAGUCCAACUGUCUGUAAUCCUGUUGGUGGGAAUGAAAAAUGUGCUGACGUGACAAUUCAUAUAUUCUUUUCCAAGAUUCUGAAGUUGGCUGCUAUUAGAAUAAGAAACUUGUGCGAAAGGGUUCAAUGUGUGGAACAGACAGAGCGUGUCUAUAAUGUCUUCAAGCAGAUUCUUGAGCAACAGACAACAUUAUUUUUUAAUAGACACAUCGAUCAACUUAUCCUUUGCUGUCUUUAUGGUGUUGCAAAGGUUUGUCAAUUAGAACUCACAUUCAGGGAGAUACUCAACAAUUACAAAAGAGAAGCACAAUGCAAGCCAGAAGUUUUUUCAAGUAUCUAUAUUGGGAGUACGAACCGUAAUGGGGUAUUAGUAUCGCGCCAUGUUGGUAUCAUUACUUUUUACAAUGAGGUAUUUGUUCCAGCAGCGAAGCCUUUCCUGGUGUCACUAAUAUCAUCUGGUACUCAUCCAGAAGACAAGAAGAAUGCUAGUGGCCAAAUUCCUGGAUCACCCAAGCCAUCUCCUUUCCCAAAUUUACCAGAUAUGUCCCCGAAGAAAGUUUCAGCAUCUCAUAAUGUAUAUGUGUCUCCUUUGCGGCAAACCAAGUUGGAUCUACUGCUGUCACCAAGUUCCAGGAGUUUUUAUGCAUGCAUUGGUGAAGGCACCCAUGCUUAUCAGAGCCCAUCUAAGGAUUUGGCUGCUAUAAAUAGCCGCCUAAAUUAUAAUGGCAGGAAAGUAAACAGUCGAUUAAAUUUCGACAUGGUGAGUGACUCAGUGGUAGCCGGCAGUCUGGGCCAGAUAAAUGGUGGUUCUACCUCGGAUCCUGCAGCUGCAUUUAGCCCCCUUUCAAAGAAGAGAGAGACAGAUACUUGAUCAAUUAUAAAUGGUGGCCUCUCUCGUAUAUAGCUCACAGAUCCGUGCUCCGUAGCAGUCUAUUCUUCUGAAUAAGUGGAUUAACUGGAGCGAUUUAACUGUACAUGUAUGUGUUAGUGAGAAGCAGCAGUUUUUAGGCAGCAAACUGUUUCAAGUUAGCUUUUGAGCUAUCACCAUUUCUCUGCUGAUUGAACAUAUCCGCUGUGUAGAGUGCUAAUGAAUCUUUAGUUUUCAUUGGGCUGACAUAACAAAUCUUUAUCCUAGUUGGCUGGUUGUUGGGAGGCAUUCAUCAGGGUUAUAUUUGGUUGUCAAAAAGUACUGUACUUAAUUCACAUCUUUCACAUUUUUCACUAGCAAUAGCAGCCCCAAAUUGCUUUCCUGACUAGGAACAUAUUCUUUACAGCUUCUCCAUCAGACUGAUGAUCCCAUAUUCAGUGUGCUGCAAGUGAUUUGACAUAUGUGGCUUAUCCUUCAGGUAUGUCUCAUGUUGUGACUUCAUUGCUGAUUGCUUUUGUAAUGGUACUGUUGAGUUCAUUUCUGGUUACAAUCAGCCUUUACUGCUUUAUAUUGUUCUACUAAUUUUGGCUUGCACAGCCAGGACGAUUGGUUUUCUGCAUCAAUCAAUCUUUUUUAGGACAAGAUAUUUUUGUAUGCUACACUUCCCAAAUUGCAAUUAAUCCAGAAGUCUACCUUGUUUUAUUCUAUUAGUUCUCAGCAACAGUGAAUGAAUAUGAAUCAGUCAUGCUGAUAGAUGUUCAUCUGGUUAUUCCAAACAAUCUGACAUCGCAUCUCUUUCUGCAAGUGAGAUGAAGAAAACCUGAAAUGCUAUCACCAUUUAAAACAUUGGCUUCUGGAAGUUCAGGUGAUUAGCAGGAGACGUUCUGACAUUGCCAUUGACAUGUACGGUAGUGAUGGCAGGAGACGUUCUUAAACAGCAGCUGCUCCUUCAGCUUGUAAUGUCUGAUUGUAUUGACCAAGAGCAUCCACCUUGCCUUAUGGUACUAACUGAAUGAGCUGGUGACGCUGACUCAUCUGCAUAAUGGCAGAUGCUUAACCAUCUUUAGGAGCUCAUGUCAUGAUUCCAGCUGCACCGUGUGCAAAUGUGAAGGCCCUGCAAGGGCUUUCCAGGCCGCACCAAUCCUGCUUGCUUCUUGAAGAUACAUAUGGUGCCACCUAAAUAAAAGCUGUUUCUGGUUAUGUCUGUCCUUGACAUGUCAACAGAUUAGUGUUGGGUUGCAGUCAUGUGGUGUUUAAGUCUUGGAGAAGGCGAGAAGUCAUUGCUGCCAGCAUUGUGAUCGUCAGGCACAGAAGUACUCAAAAGUGAGAGCUACUUGUUGCGAGCAAACGGAGGGCGAUAUAGGUUGAUAGCCAAUUUCAGUUCUCUAUAUACAAGCAGCGGAUUUUGUUUAGAGUUAGCUUUUGAGAUGCAUCAUUUCUUUCACAUCUGAUUCUGUGUGUUGUAACUCGGAGUCGCGUAGAAGUUAGAAUGCUAACUGACCUUAAUUUUCACCGAAUAAUUUGCUAGCGUUUUUCAGUAUGAAAUCCUUGUCUUAAAUUUUGGAAUGUACCUGUCAUGGGUAUAUUUUGUCUUUA
Zea mays is the source of this 4335-nucleotide RNA transcript. It is a transcript of the gene named ZmRB, with no coding region annotated. The transcript is spliced from 16 exons. The record is from RefSeq and is marked validated. Lineage: Eukaryota; Viridiplantae; Streptophyta; Magnoliopsida; Poales; Poaceae.